Molecule: ribosomal RNA, 207 nt
Filed under: uncultured bacterium
Lineage: Bacteria
Description: partial 16S ribosomal RNA
Rfam family: Bacterial small subunit ribosomal RNA
Source: RNAcentral
UGCGUAGGCGGUUCGUCGCGUCCGGUGUGAAAGUCCAUCGCUUAACGGUGGAUCCGCGCCGGGUACGGGCGGGCUUGAGUGUGGUAGGGGAGACUGGAAUUCCCGGUGUAACGGUGGAAUGUGUAGAUAUCGGGAAGAACACCAAUGGCGAAGGCAGGUCUCUGGGCCGUUACUGACGCUGAGGAGCGAAAGCGUGGGGAGCGAACA